UUCGGCUGAUUGUGGGGAGUUUUUUGUGUCAAAAAUUUCAGUUGGUUGCUGCAAAUAAAGUCAGUAGUUGGCUGGAGAAAAACAUAGAAGAAAAGUGCUGAAAAAUAUAGACAAAUUGGCGGCUGAUUACAUGAAUUAAUUUGGAACCGACACAGAUUGAGGUGGCAGCUUUUGGAAGGAAUUUGGAAAUCAUUCACGUUCUGUC
Molecule: long non-coding RNA, 205 nt
Filed under: Olea europaea (common olive)
Lineage: Eukaryota; Viridiplantae; Streptophyta; Magnoliopsida; Lamiales; Oleaceae
Description: long non-coding RNA (OEUR_LNC000467)
Source: RNAcentral